GUGUGUGUGUGUGUGUGUGUGUGUAACUUAUGUAACUAUAAAUAAUAAUAUAAAUAAACAAAAGUAGGUAGAAAAAUGUUACAUAGAUAAUAUCUCAUUUAAAAAAACAUUAAAGAAGUUUCUUAGAUAUGGAUUAGAAGUUUUUAUUCUUAUAGAUUUGUCAUGUGGCUAUUAAAACUUGUCUUAAAAGCAUAUUAUUUUUAAAAAGUUGUGUUGGAAUCAACUUAAAACUUCAGAUUUGCACCACAAGCCUCACAUUUCUUACAAAGUUUUACAAGACCUUCUUGGAAGCAUGUAUAUAUAGAGGCAAAAUUGAGGCUAUUCUCAAUCUCAUCGAUAAAUUUCUUGUAUUCAAUAUAACAUCAUAUAACCAUGAUUAACUUCAAAAAUAAUAUUUACUUCACAAAUAAAAUAAGCAUUCAAAAUAAAAUUACUCUGUUCAAUAUAUAUAUAUAUAUAUAUAUAUUAAUGAAUUACAAUGGAUAAGUGUUAACCUAAUUGAUAUGAAAUUUUACAUUUUGUACCUAUGCUGAACUCCAUGCUACUGAAUUGUUUUUUUUUGAAAGAACGGAAUAUCUCUCAAAAGUAGAAUGAAGAAAGUGGUUCUCAAGACAAUGAGCACCUAACCAGAUACAAAUUACUCAAAAAAAAUAUAUUUUAUAAUGAUCUUUUUUGGGCUUCUUACAACCUACAACAAAAAAAGAGAGAAAAAGCUGAGAUUUUUAUACUUUUAUGGAAAUUUUCAUAACUAACAAUCCUACUAAAAUUCCUAAAAAAAAAGGAGUUUUCUAUCAAAGAAUCAAUUCUGUUGAAACCAAAAAUUGUCAUUUUAGUGAUUAUUUUAAAAUUAUCAGUUUUCCAUUGAAAAAACCACUGAGUGUACGUGUGUUGAAAUUAUCAAAAAAAUAGUAUUGAUAAAAAUAAAUAAAAAUGUAAUCUUGCAAACAUAACAUAAAUACACUUCUGAUUAGUGAGUACAAAGUUAUGAUAUAGUUUAAGGAGAAACUUACCUACUUUUAUUUUCGGUGUAUUACCCAUUACUGUAAUUCUAUUAUAAUGCAUUCUGAACGAA
This 1072-nucleotide long non-coding RNA is filed under the name Physcomitrium patens. RNAcentral's name for it is "long non-coding RNA (PPAT_LNC009019)". Lineage: Eukaryota; Viridiplantae; Streptophyta; Bryopsida; Funariales; Funariaceae. The record is from RNAcentral.